AUGGAGCCCAUCCCUCUCCUGACGCCGUACAAGAUGGGCCAGCUCAACCUCGCCCACCGGAUCGUCCUGGCCCCGCUCACCCGCCAGCGCUCCUACGGCAACGUGCCGCAGCCGCACGCCGCCUUGUACUACUCCCAGCGCGCCUCCGCCGGCGGGUUGCUCAUCACCGAGGCCACCGGGGUCUCCGACACGGCCCAGGGGUACCGCGAUACACCGGGCGUCUGGACGGCGGAGCACGUCGAGGCAUGGAAGCCAAUUGUCGAUGCAGUGCACGCCAAGGGCGCGCUCAUCUUCUGCCAGAUCUGGCACGUCGGCCGCGUGUCCACCUAUGAGUACCAGCCCGGCGGUGCCGCGCCGCUGUCGUGCACGGACAAGGGGGUGGGCCCGCAAAUGAGCUAUGACGGGAGGCUGGAGGAGUUCGCGCCGCCGAGGAGGCUCAAGGUGGAGGAGAUACCGGCCAUCGUCGACGACUUCAGGAAGGCGGCCAGGAACGCCAUCGACGCUGGUUUUGACGGUGUGGAGAUCCACGGGGCGAAUGGGUACCUAAUUGAGCAGUUCCUCAAGGACAGUGCGAAUGACCGCACCGACGAGUAUGGUGGCAGCAUCGAGAACCGGUGUCGCUUUGCUCUCGAGGUGGUGGAUGCCGUCGUGAAGGAGGUCGGUGGCCACCGUGUGGGCAUCCGCCUCUCCCCCUUCACCGACUACAUGGACUGCCACGACUCUGACCCCCACGCCCUCGCGCUCCACAUGUCCACCAAACUCAACAACUACAACAUCAUCUAUCUCCACAUGGUCGAGCUGAGGAUGGCCAUCGUUGAUGGACGAAGGGUGGUCCCGAAGCGCUUGCUGCCAUACAGGGAGGCGUUCAAGGGUACAUUUAUGGCCAAUGGCGGGUACGACCGCGAGGAAGGGGGCAAGGUGGUCGCUGAUGGGUACACUGAUUUGGUCUCCUUCGGGCGAUCGUUCUUGGCGAAUCCAGACCUGCCAAAGAGGUUUGAGAUCGGCGCAGAGCUGAACAAGUAUGAUAGGAUGACCUUCUACAUCUCUGACCCCGUCAUCGGCUACACUGACUACCCCUUCCUUGAUUAA
Molecule: ribosomal RNA, 1089 nt
Filed under: Triticum aestivum (bread wheat)
Lineage: Eukaryota; Viridiplantae; Streptophyta; Magnoliopsida; Poales; Poaceae
Description: partial small subunit ribosomal RNA
Source: RNAcentral